UGACAGCUAAAAUAACUAUAUUUUAAAAAAUCAAAGACAAAACCACCAAACAAGUUAUAAUAACUUAAAAAAUUCACACUAAAUAAAUAUAAAAUACAAAAAAUGAGAGAUUAUUUUUCACACCGACAAAAUUCUUUUCCUUAUUUGCUCUAUUUCUUCAAGCUUAUAUAUCCUUUUUGAUGAAUGCUGCUCUUGAAAGAUCUUUUUUUAAAGAUAGCAGAAAAUCCACCAUUGAUUAGAAUGACUGCUGAGCAUAAGAAGAAUGUAAUUAAGAAAAAUAAUUUAUAAGUAACUGAAAAGAAAUAAUUAUAAGCCUCAAAGACAUACCUGGUAUUUUGCACUCAAACACACCUAAUGUCUGAUCUCACAGACUUUUUGACGACUAAACAUAAAUUAACUGAAAUAAUCUGACUCAAGUAAAAGCUAUAAAACACAGGUUUGUGUAUUAUCUUGAUCUGAGAACAUAUACCAACAAACACACGCCUGAUCCUUAUACUCGUCCAGUGAAAUUGAAAAUGCUAUAGUAAAUAUAGAAACGUAUGUGUGUGGCUUAUAACUAUAGAUAGAUAUUUGGGCUCUGUGUUAGUUUGUAUUCCAG
Molecule: long non-coding RNA, 598 nt
Filed under: Brassica napus (rape)
Lineage: Eukaryota; Viridiplantae; Streptophyta; Magnoliopsida; Brassicales; Brassicaceae
Description: long non-coding RNA (BNAP_LNC021465)
Source: RNAcentral